RNAcentral lists this long non-coding RNA (5153 nucleotides) under Zostera marina. Its description in RNAcentral is "long non-coding RNA (ZMAR_LNC000437)". Lineage: Eukaryota; Viridiplantae; Streptophyta; Magnoliopsida; Alismatales; Zosteraceae. The record is from RNAcentral.
GCGCCCGGACCACACCAGUCUGGUCCAAAGACUACGUUAUGGGCUCAUCCCAUGAUAUUUAAAUUUAAUUAAUUUGUUAAAGGGGCUUUUAUGUUCAGACCCUUAAGUUGUUUAAUUUUUACAAUUCCGUCCUGACUAUAAAGGAUAGAAUUAGGUAUGAACUUUGCAACAAUUUUAUCAAUAAAAAAAACAAUCCGUUUUGCUGUCCAAUCACCCAGCAACGGCCACCCCGACCUUGGUCGAGUACACCCCCUGUCCGUCUUCGCCUUUUCAUCCAAUCCGUUCCGAUCAAUCCGCUGAUCAGACGCAUCAAGCUUCCUGCCGACCAGCUUAACAGCAUUUCCCGAGAGGACUAAGUCUUGAUUUCAGGAGUAGAUCUCCGCUGCUCGCGCUUAGGAUAUCCUUGAUCUUCGAUCUUGGAUCCGAAGCACCUCAGAUUAUCAGGUCUAUCUGUCCAUUUUUGCAUUCCGGUUAUAUCGGUUGCAUCAUUUGGUGCUUUCAACUUUUCAUUUGAACUCGAUUUUUCAGGAUGACAACAAUCGAUUUGGCAGCUCAUCCAGAUUUCAUUAGGCUGCAAACAUUACAGAUAUCUCAGAUUUCAGACAUGAAUGAAUUUAGGUCAUCAGUGAAAAACAAUUUUUUAGAAUUAAGCAAACAAAUGGCUGAAAUAUGCACUUCAAUCAAGUGUAAACCUCCGGAUAAAAUACAAGUGCUAGACUGCCCAAAAAAAAAUUCAGAGCACUCUAAUUACCUAUCUGUGGUGGACCUGGACAAACCAAAAUAUGCAGCAACGCGCGGUAAUAGAUAAUCCAGAUUAUAUACCGGCUAAACACAUCAAGGUGGAGAUGCCUAGAUUCGAUGGCAAAGAGGCAGAGGAAUGGAUUUUUUCUAUGAGAAGGUAUUUCAUAUUUAAUAAAAUACCCGAGGACCAAAAACUUCUGAUAGUAUUCUUUCACUUAGAUGGGAUAGCUAGGAAAUGGUUCGCUUGGAUGGAGGCUAGCAAUAUGUUGACAGAUUGGAAGAACUUUGUAGAAGCUGUGGUCAGAAAAUUUACAAGCAUACAUUAUUCCUUACCAGGAGGCAAAUUGAGCAAACUAUGCCAGGAUGGGACAGUAUCUGAGUACCAAGCUAAAUUUCAGGAAUUAGGCACAAGAGUGUUGGGGUUACCUGAAUAUUUCGUGCUAGAAUUGUAUAUAUCGGGCUUAAAGGAAGAAAUUCAGAUUGAGGUGUUGAGAGAUAAACCCUCAGACAUUCAUGAGGCUUUUGAUUUAUCAUUGCUAAUUGAAUCUCAAACAAGUGGAUCCCGGGUGCUGAAUCACAAACCAGCAAGUUCAAAUUAUUUAAAAGGGAGUUCAUUCAUACCCAAGGCAGACUUUACAACCACCAAAUUGGGAGAACCAGCUCCAAAUUCAGUCCCAAAGAGUCUACCAGUUUUCAAGAGACUAUCUCCUUCUGAAAGAAGAGAGAGAACAUCUAAAGGCCUUUGCUUCAACUGUGAUGAUAAAUUUGUGCCUGGCCACAAGUGCAAAGGAAAGAUGUUCAGAUUGUCUGCUGAUGAAUCGUGUCUGUGGGAGGUGGAAGAUACAGAGGAACACCAAAAUGAGGAGGAGAUAGAGGUGAUUGUCCCAGAGGGGCAGACUGAAAUCAGUUUUUAUGCUUUUGAGGGUCACAUUAAUGCUAACACUAUUAGGCUGGAUGGAUAAAUUAAAUUUCAGUCUGUGAGUGUGCUAGUUGACACUGGGUCUACACACAAUUUUAUGCAAGUGGAGGUCGCACAAGCACUAAAAUUAACCAUUCACCUCAUCAUACCAUUCAAAGUCUCAACAGGUAGUGGGGAGAAACUAGUUUGUGACAAAGUGUGCAGGAAUGUUGAAAUCAGAAUUCAGGGCACUGCAAUACAAAUGGACAUAUUUUUAUUACCAAUGGCUGGUGCCAACAUGGUAAUUGGCAUACAAGGUCUGAAAACCUUAGGGGCUGUCACUUUUGAUUUCUCCAGUCUACAAAUGGAAUUUUGGUGGAGGAGCAAAAAGGUUUCUUGGCAUGGAUCACCAUGGAUUUCUGAAGAUCCAUUUACCAUAGGACAACUGAAAUCACUACAAGCUUCAACUCAAGAGGCUUAUCUUUGCUACAUUGAGGAAGUUAAAGAUCAGACCUCUGUUGUAAGUUCUGAAAUUUUUGAAAUUACAGAAGUAGUGCAACAUUUUGCAGAUGUUUUUGAGACACCUGGUGGACUGCCACCCCAGAGAGAGAGGGACCAACCAGGAGCACAACCUGUUAGCGUCAGACCUUACAAGUACCCCCAGUUUCAAAAGAAUGAGAUUGAAAGAUUGGUUUCUGAGAUGCUAGCUCAGAACAUUGUAAAACAUAGCACUAGCCCUUACUCAUCUCCAGUGCUACUUGUGAAGAAAAAGGAUGGUGGGUACAGGUUAUGUGUGGACUACAGAGCCCUGAACGCAUUGACCAUAAAAGAUAAAUUUCCUAUACCUACUGUUGAUGAGUUACUAGGUGAACUGAGGGGGCCAGUAAUAUUUUCUAAACUGGAUCUCAGGUCAGGAUUUCACCAAAUCAGAGUUCACCCAAAGCAUACGGAGAAAACUGCAUUUAGAACCCAUCAAGGACAUUUUGAGUUUUUAGUGAUGUCAUUUGGGCUUACUAAUGCCCCAGCUACGUUUCAGUCAGUCAUGAAUGUUGUGUUUGAAAAAUAUCUGAGGAAAUUUGUUUUAAUAUUUUUUGAUGACAUCUUGGUGUUUAGUGCUUCUCUAGAUGAUCAUAUUCAGCACCUCAAGCUGGUUUUUGAGACUCUUAGAGCAAAUCAGCUCUUGGCCAAGCUUUCUAAGUGCUCUUUUAGGCAGAAAUCUAUUGGGUUCUUGGAACAUAUAAUUGAGUCAGAUGGAGUUCACCCUGAUCCUGAAAAGGUGAAGGCCAUGGUGGAUUGGGCUGUUCCCAAAACAUUAAAAAAAUUGAGAGGAUUUUUGGGCUUGACUGGUUAUUACAGAAGAUUUGUGAAAGGGUAUGCCCAAAUUGCUGCACCUAUGACUGACUUACUGAAGAAAGACAGUUUCGCUUGGACAGAGAAAACCACUAGGAGUUUUGAAAAACUUAAAACAGCCAUGGUGUCUGCUCCAGUUUUGGGAUUUCCAGAUUUUUCUAAACAGUUUACUAUUGAGACAGAUGCAUGCAAAAAUAGGGUGGGAGCUGUACUUAUCCAAGAAUGUCACCCUAUAUCUUUCUAUAGUUGUAAAAUUUCAGGAAAGAUGAGUGAUGUCUCCAUCUACGUGAAGGAGAUGUAUGCUAUUACCCAAGUUGUGGGUAAAUGGAGGCAUUACCUAUUGGGGUCUCACUUCAUCAUAAGGACUGAUCACAAGAGCUUAAAGAACUUGCUAACUCAAAUUAUACAAACCCCAGAACAACAAGUGUUUCUUUGCAAGCUCUUAGGGUUUGAUUUUUCAAUUAUCUACAAGCCCGGGAGAGAAAAUAUUGUGGCAGAUGCACUAUCUAGAUCUCUAGAAGAGGAUGAGGAAGAAAUUAUUUUUUCUAGCAAUUCUGAAGGCUCUCCAGGUUCCCUACUAGCAUUUUCAGCACUAGUCUAUUCUAUUUUUGAUGAAUUAAAGGAGGAAAAUGAAAAAAAUAUGGAAGUACAGAAAAUGAUCAGCAAGUAUGAAAAUGGAGGACAAGAUUAUGAUGGCUUCUUGGUCAGAAAUGUGAUAUUAUAUUUCAAAGGCAGGUAUUUUGUCAAUGAUAAUUCUAGCUUGAUUUUUAAAAUCUUAGAAAAUUUCCAUGAUUCCCAUAUGGGAGGGCAUGCUGGAGUUCACAAGACUUGGAAGAGAAUAGUCAAGCAUUUUUAUUGGCUUAGAAUGGGGAAAACAAUUAAAGAAUAUGUGCCAACUGCCUACUAUGCCAACAAAUGAAGCCAAUGAACCAAAGGCCCUCUGGCCUUCUAAUGCCAUUACCCAUACCCUCAAAGGUUUGGCAAGAUGUGAGUAUGGAUUUUAUUGUUGAAUUACCUAAAGUUGAAGGUUAUUCAGUUAUAAUGGUGGUGGUAGAUAGACUCACUAAAUAUGCUCAUUUCAGUCCUCUUCCCUCAAAUUUUAAUGCAUCCAAAGUGGCUGAAAUUUUCACCAAGUAUAUCAUUAAACUACAUGGGAUACCAGCCACCAUAGUAUCAGACAGAGACAAGGUGUUUACUUCUAAAUUUUGAAAGGAACUCCAUAAGCUCAGUGGGACUAAGCUCCAUUUUUCUUCAGCAUACCACCCCCAAUCUGAUGGACAAACGGAGGUAGUAAACAGAAUUCUUGAGAUGUAUUUGAGAAGUUAUUGUCAUGAAAAACCAAGAAAUUGGUUGUCCAUACUACCUUGGGCAGAAUUAUGGUAUAAUUCUAGUUUUCACUCAUCUUUGGGAAUGACACCAUUCAAGGCAUUGUAUGGAAAGGAAUCUAAUGAAAUUCCAUCUUAUGAACAAGGUGGCUCGCAAGUGGAGGCAGUUGACAUCACAUUAAAAAUCAGAGAAGAAACUCUAUCUACUAUCAAGAAAAAUUUAGAGGCAGCCCAAUCUAGAAUGAAAAAACAGGCCGAUAAGAAAAGGAUGGAAGUGAUGUUCCAAGAAGGUGAUUGGGUAUUGGUAAAACUAAAACCCUAUAGGCAGAAUUCUAUGGCCAAGAGAAUGCAUAACAAGCUAGGGAUGAAGUAUUUUGGUCCCUAUGAGAUAAUUAAAAAGAUAAAUCCAGUGGCAUACAAGUUAAAGUUACCUGAAGGAAGCCGGAUUCAUCCUUCUUUUCAUGUGUCAAAGCUCAAGAAAUUUUGUGGUCCAAUACCAAGUCAACCUGCAAAUUCAAAGGAGCCACUAUUAGCAAUUAAUAAUCAACCCAUAAUGUUUCCUAUUGCUAUUUUAGACCGCAGGACGAUUUGGCAAGGAAGGAAGGCUUUGGAGCAGAUUUUGCUGCUAUGGAAUGGAGCCCUGGCCGAGGACUCAUCGUGGGAGGCAGUGGAAGACGUGAGGGAGAUGUACCCGUCGAUCAACCUUGAGGACAAGGUCGUUGUCGGAGAAGGUGGAGAUGAUACGGAGUUGCCGGAGGUUGGAGACGUAACCGGAGAUGUCCUGGAGAACUGCCGACAUGCAGAGAAGGUAGAAGCCGGCGUCCUAAUUUCAUAUUUAG